CUAGCUGCAAGGGAAAAUACUAGAAUUUACAUUUAUGUUUGAAUUGAUGUCAUGUACAAUAUACAGUAAUUCAAAAGAGUACCUGUGCCACAGGAUAAAGACAAGAGUUCUGCUUUGCUUUAAAGACUGACUGCUUCACACUUUAUUGUGCUGCUGCAAGACUCUGACUAAAGCUGAGUUCCAUACAAAGUGCAUAGAACCUAGUUGACUUUAUUUGCCUUAAACUGGCUUAAGUUUAUGUUGGCUCAAGGUCUUUAUCCCUUUUCACAUCAAUACGUUUGACAAUUUACAUCCCAAUUCUGUCAGCUGUUGCUUUGGUGGAAUUCAGAAGACUGCAGCAAAUUAAACAGCACCUUGUAUGAAGUGGAAAGGGCAGAGUGGUCUAGGUGGACUGAUAAGCAAUAUAAGGUCUCAUCUGCAAACUGGCCAGUUUACUUUGAUCUUGUUUAGACAAUGGAAUCAAUGCACUUUUAGCUACUUCCAUCUACUUGGUGCAUCUUAGUCUGUGCAGAGUUUAAAGAAAUGUGUGCAAAACAGGAACAAAGCAGG
This is a long non-coding RNA of Sceloporus undulatus (fence lizard), 549 nucleotides long. RefSeq lists it as uncharacterized. NCBI's taxonomy places the organism in Eukaryota, Metazoa, Chordata, Lepidosauria, Squamata, Phrynosomatidae. The record is from RefSeq and is a predicted model, not a curated record. The transcript has 3 exons.